Molecule: long non-coding RNA, 1416 nt
Organism: Oreochromis niloticus (Nile tilapia)
Lineage: Eukaryota; Metazoa; Chordata; Actinopteri; Cichliformes; Cichlidae
Exons: 5
Source: RefSeq, a predicted model, not a curated record
AAAAUACAAGAAUCGUACUACAUUUUUCCCAAAUGGAACAUUGAAGCUCAAAAAAGUAACAAAAAAUGACUCUGGAGAGUACAAGAUGGAAACACACAAUUCUACUGACGGUGCGUUAUUGUACAGAGUUAACAUCCAUCUACAUAUACUAGCUCCUGUGUCAGAACCAGCUGUUACGCAGAUGUGUUUGUCACCAAACCAGAUGACAGUCAGCUGCUCCUCUGAAGGAGACGAAGUAGAAUUCAUUUUGUCUUUGGAUGAUAAGUUGUUGAUACAGUCUACAGCUGACGGUAUAGAAAACAACAACAUUUCAAAUGUUACCAUCAACUUAGCUGGUCAGCUGAUGGGAAACCUGACAUGUGUUGCUCAAAACGAUGUCAGCAGAAAACAAACUAUCACCCACCUUACAAGCUGUACAGCUCCUGUGUCAAAACCAGUUGUUUUGCAGAUGUGUUUGUCACCAGAACAAAGGACAGUCAGUUGCUCCUCUGAAGGAGAUGAAGUAGAGUUCACCUUGUUUUUGGAUGAUAACUUGUUGAUAAAAACCCAACCCAGCACUGCAGAAAACCACAACAUUUCAAAUGUUACCAUCAGUUUACAUGGUCAGCUGAUGGGAAAGCUAAUGUGUAUCGUCCAAAACAACAUCAGCAGAGAACAAACCAUCAUCCACCUUAUAAGCUGCACAGGUACAACUUCUGUGGUGACUAUGGUUGUACUAACAAGUGUUGCACCUCUACUUCUCAGUCUCUCAAUUCUCACUUUACUUUUGACUGUUAAUAAAGGUGUUGCUGAAGAUAACAUUUUUUACUCCAAACUUGCAUACGAAGAAAACAUCAAUCAACACACAAAGGCCACAGCCAGAUGAGGGAGUCAGUCUCAGGGCUUUCUUGUUUUGAGGAAACAGUGCGAACCACCACACGACCAUGCUGCCUCUACUCAUACAUUAUUACUUAUUUACAAGUAGUUAAUGUGCACAUUUAUAAUUUUUAUUCUUGUUAAUAAGCUCAUGUUUUACAUUUUUGCUUAACCCUUGGAGAUUAAAACAAAGCUCUGGUCAGUAGUGUUGGUGCUUUGCUUACAUUGUGUUUUGUUUAGAAAAUGUGAGCUGUGCCUCAAGCAUCAUAGCUACUCUUCACUGUGUGACCUUAGAAACCACAAACUAUAUCCUGUUUUCACUGAGCUGCUAAACCACCACUGCUGUAGCUGCACAGAGGUCAGUGUGCAACUACAGAAUCGGUAUCAUGCAUAACAAUGGCUCGUUUGUUCAUUAUUACAAAUCAUAGUAAAUGAUCCAUAAUAAUAAAUGCUCACUCAUUCUUAUGAAGGAAGAAGAUUGUUGGCCAACAUUUAGAUUUUUCAGUAAUAUUUGUCAUCAUGUGUCACUUUUGAAGUAUAAUAAAGAUUCUGUUCCCCUCA